This is a non-coding RNA of Vicia faba (fava bean), 183 nucleotides long. Lineage: Eukaryota; Viridiplantae; Streptophyta; Magnoliopsida; Fabales; Fabaceae. The record is from the annotation of a GenBank genome assembly.
AUGAAAAUAAAAAGAUCGGAGGUCAGUAAAAACGAAAAAUAUAAGAAAUCAUUAAAACACAGUUUAAUUAAUAUAAAAAAUUGUAGGAACAUCAGAAUGCAAAAGCCUAAGAAGACCAAUGAAGCAAAUCAAAUGUUCCAAUUAGUAUCGGCAACGUACAGCACUGAAAUCGCUAUCGAAUAA